AUUGAACGCUGGCGGCAUGCUUUACACAUGCAAGUCGAACGGCAGCGCGGGCUUCGGCCUGGCGGCGAGUGGCGAACGGGUGAGUAAUGCAUCGGAACGUGCCCAGUAGUGGGGGAUAGCCCGGCGAAAGCCGGAUUAAUACCGCAUACGACCUGAGGGUGAAAGCGGGGGACCGAAAGGCCUCGCGCUAUUGGAUCGGCCGAUGUCGGAUUAGCUAGUUGGUGGGGUAAAGGCUUACCAAGGCGACGAUCCGUAGCUGGUCUGAGAGGACGACCAGCCACACUGGGACUGAGACACGGCCCAGACUCCUACGGGAGGCAGCAGUGGGGAAUUUUGGACAAUGGGGGCAACCCUGAUCCAGCCAUGCCGCGUGCGGGAAGAAGGCCUUCGGGUUGUAAACCGCUUUUGUUCGGGAAGAAAUCCUGUGGGCUAAUACCCCGGGGGGAUGACGGUACCGGAAGAAUAAGCACCGGCUAACUACGUG
RNAcentral lists this ribosomal RNA (484 nucleotides) under uncultured bacterium. RNAcentral describes it as "partial 16S ribosomal RNA". It matches the Rfam family "Bacterial small subunit ribosomal RNA", at positions 28 to 507 of the family's 1533-position model. The record is from RNAcentral.